This 492-nucleotide ribosomal RNA is filed under the name uncultured bacterium. RNAcentral describes it as "partial 16S ribosomal RNA". It matches the Rfam family "Bacterial small subunit ribosomal RNA", at positions 29 to 507 of the family's 1533-position model. The record is from RNAcentral.
AGUGAACGCUGGCGGUAGGCCUAACACAUGCAAGUCGAACGGCAGCACAGUAAGAGCUUGCUCUUACGGGUGGCGAGUGGCGGACGGGUGAGGAAUACAUCGGAAUCUACUUUUUCGUGGGGGAUAACGUAGGGAAACUUACGCUAAUACCGCAUACGACCUACGGGUGAAAGCAGGGGAUCUUCGGACCUUGCGCGAUUGAAUGAGCCGAUGUCGGAUUAGCUAGUUGGCGGGGUAAAGGCCCACCAAGGCGACGAUCCGUAGCUGGCCUGAGAGGAUGAUCAGCCACACUGGAACUGAGACACGGUCCAGACUCCUACGGGAGGCAGCAGUGGGGAAUAUUGGACAAUGGGCGCAAGCCUGAUCCAGCCAUACCGCGUGGGUGAAGAAGGCCUUCGGGUUGUAAAGCCCUUUUGUUGGGAAAGAAAAGCAGCAGGUUAAUACCCCGCUGUUCUGACGGUACCCAAAGAAUAAGCACCGGCUAACUUCCUG